GACGAACGCUGGCGGCGUGCUUAACACAUGCAAGUCGAGCGGUAAGGCCCUUUCGGGGGUACACGAGCGGCGAACGGGUGAGUAACACGUGGGUGACCUGCCCUCCAGCUCUGGGGAUAAAGCCUGGGAAACCGGGGUCUAAUACUGGAUAUCGACUCCAUGACGCAUGUUGUGGGGUGGAAAGCCUUGUGCGGCUGAGGAUGGGCCCGCGGCCUAUCAGCUUGUUGGUGGGGUGAUGGCCUACCAAGGCGACGACGGGUAGCCGGCCUGAGAGGGCGACCGGCCACACUGGGACUGAGACACGGCCCAGA
This 311-nucleotide ribosomal RNA is filed under the name uncultured bacterium. RNAcentral's name for it is "bacterial SSU rRNA". It matches the Rfam family "Bacterial small subunit ribosomal RNA", at positions 28 to 335 of the family's 1533-position model. The record is from RNAcentral.